GAUGAACGCUAGCGAUAGGCUUAACACAUGCAAGUCGAGGGGCAGCACAAGGUAGCUUGCUAUCUGGGUGGCGACCGGCGCACGGGUGCGUCACGCGUAUGCAACUUGCCCUAUACAGGAGGAUAACCCGACGAAAGACGGACUAAUACUGUGUAUGCUCACAACUUGGCAUCAAGUGGUGAGGAAAGAAAUUCGGUAUAGGAUAGGCAUGCGUCCCAUUAGCUUGUUGGUGAGGUAACGGCUCACCAAGGCAACGAUGGGUAGGGGAACUGAGCGGUUUAUCCCCCACACUGGUACUGAGACACGGACCAGACUCCUACGGGAGGCAGCAGUGAGGAAUAUUGGUCAAUGGGCGCGAGCCUGAACCAGCCAAGUCGCGUGAAGGAUGACUGUCUUAUGGAUUGUAAACUUCUUUUAUACGGGAAUAACAAGAGUCACGUGUGACUCCCUGCAUGUACCGUAUGAAUAAGCAUCGGCUAACUCCGUG
RNAcentral lists this ribosomal RNA (487 nucleotides) under uncultured bacterium. RNAcentral's name for it is "partial 16S ribosomal RNA". It matches the Rfam family "Bacterial small subunit ribosomal RNA", at positions 28 to 507 of the family's 1533-position model. The record is from RNAcentral.